Molecule: RNA transcript, 644 nt
Organism: Panicum virgatum (switchgrass)
Lineage: Eukaryota; Viridiplantae; Streptophyta; Magnoliopsida; Poales; Poaceae
Gene name: peroxidase 25-like
Exons: 1
Source: RefSeq, a predicted model, not a curated record
AUCUUCACGGCGACGGGCAACGCGGACCCGACCAUCAGCCAGGCGUUCCUGCCGCAGCUCCGGGCGUUGUGCCCGCCCGGCGGCGACACGGGCCGGCGGGUGGUCUGGACAAGGACAGCCCCGGCGCGUUCGACGUGAGCUUCUUCAAGAGCGUCCGGGACGGGAACGCCGUGCUGGAGUCGGUCCAGCAGCUGUGGAGCGACGCCGCGACGCAGAGCGCCGUGCAGAAGUACGCCGGCAAUGUGCGGGGCCUGCUCAGGCUCCGGUUCGCGUACGAGUUCCCCAGGGCCAUGGUGCGGAUGAGCAGCGCCGCGGUGAAGACCGGCGGGCAGGGCGAGGUCAGGAGGAGGUGCUCCAGGAUCAACUGAUGCGGCGCAGGCGGCAGAGUUCUACCGGCUUGGCCGUGUGCGAACUGGAACCGCUUCGUGUGUUGGCACGUCGUGCUCGGCUGGGGACAUGAAACAAAUGGUGCCAGCAUGCAACGAUUCUUUGCUAGUAUUGGCUGCGACCUGUGGUGUAUGCGUGUGUGGCUUCUUGCCUGUCACUUUCUUGCUCUGUGUCUGAAGGUAACCUGCAUAAUUCGGCCAACAUCUUGUGCCUAAUCGCUAGCAUUUGAGAAUAUACGCAUGUCCUAUUGAUUUCCA